UGUGUGUGUGUGUGUGUGUGUGUGUGUGUGUGAAAUACAACCAUUGCUUUUCAAACUCCAAGAUGCAAGAUGCGUCAGGUAGGCUUUGGGGACUCUGUUAAAAACACACUCCAACUCAACAGUGAUUCUGAGUCUGGUUCUUAGAGCCACGGGAGGCGCAAAGAAGAAAGAAAUUUUAUCCUGAGAUCUAAGAACACUGAGGACACCAUCCCAUGAGCUUCGGGGAGUUUGAAAGCUCCUAAAACUUUACAGAGUUCCCAUGGUUUGUGCAUUAUCCACAUUGUUUUAGGAAAGUAUAGGAUAGGGCUGAAGCAAUGACUCAACAGUUAAGAACACUGGCUCCCUCUCCAGAGGACCUGAGUUGUGUUCCCAGCACCCACCUGGCAGCGCUGACUACAGCCCCAAGCAGUCCAGUAGCCCCUACUUCUGAGCUCUGGGGACACGUACACACAUGACAUUCGCUCACACCCAAACGCAGAGAUACACAUAAAUAAAAGUAAUGAGAAUGAAUCUCAUUACGGAGGGAGAAAAACAUUGAUAAAGAUAUUGAGGCAAGUAAACAAUUGCCCCGAGGCCGCUUGUGUGCCUCUGAACCUUAAGAACAUGGAAAGACAAUGGCCCUACGCAAGGGCUGCCCUUGUUUGUUUCAACUUUGGGAAAGAUUUGGGCAGCUGCUGUAUUACAAACCUCCCCAGGGACAAGUUCAUGUGGUGAAGAGUAGGACAGGCCUCCGGGCGAAAGCUAGUCAGUUCAACAGGGUGUAAAGACCCACACCCUGACUGCAGCAACUUAGAAACUGAGUUUCUCCAGUUAAACCUUCAAAUGAGUUCCCCAGCCCAGUGGAAGCCAUGACAUCCUCCCUGAAGACUUUAAAUCGAUGUGCUCAUCUAAGCUGCCUCCCAGUUACUAACCAGAAGACUAUUGUGUGUUCAAUGGGUUAUUGUUGUAAUUAUAAAUCUGCUGGCCUGCCCUGUCAGCUGGGUACCCCGUCCCUUUAAGAGGCAAACUCCUCCCACCCCCAAUCUCCCCCUUCUGAUCUUGCCCACCUCCAGUCUACCCAAACUGACUUGUAUCUCCUAUCUAUGCUUCUGAAGAGGUAGUCUCUGCCUCUCCCCUCCCCCUUUCUCCUUUUUCUCUUUCUCCCCCACCGUCCCCAUAACCCCUUAUAUCCUUCCCAAUACUAAACUCUAUACCCAAGUCUCUCUGCAUGGCAUCCUGUUUGCCUCCCACCCACAGGGGUCAUGCCUCCAUGAAUUGGUGCAUGACUCGACCAGGCUCUCUCCAUGUUCCCUCCCACCCAUGGACGGUCCGGCUAAAGCACAUGGGAAUCCCGGAUCCGAAGCUGCUACUACGCACAACACCAACUAAAUGCCAUGAACAACAUGUGGUUUCUCUAUGCAGCAUGUGACCUCUACCAUCUUGACUAAGGGCAGGCCGUGUAACCAAGUCGCCAUCUUUACUGAGAGGAGAAGAUUGGCUCCUAGCAGCAGCACUAUCUUUCCUCCAAAGAAUACAGAAGACGGGUAGACAGAGAAUAUCAUCCAGCCACAGUUCACUCAGCAAGUGAAAGUGCUAACCACUGGGCAUAACAGCCUUUCAUCGAAACUCCUGAAGAUCUCCAGGCAGUGGACAGAAUUGACUGGAAUCAAUGGCCUAGCUGUUCAGGACAAGACCUUGUCAGAUCCAAGAGACAUCGGAGAGUUCCACAGCGCCACAAAUCCUGGACAGGAGUGAAGCAACAAGCUACCCCAGGAUGUGACCAGAUCCAAGCUUUCUCAGGUCCCCCAAGACUUCGACAUCCACAAAUCACCAGGAAGCAGUCUCGAGAACUAGACGCUCUUAUCCCCUCAAUCUGCCAUGCCUAACUCCUUGCCAUUUUAUUAUAAGAGAAAGGCGGGAAUGUUGUAAUUAUAAAUCUGCUGACCUGCCAUGUCACCUGAGUACCCUGCCCCUUUAAGAGAUAAACCCUGCCCACCUCCACUUGUCCCCCAUCCAGCUGAGGGAAGCUGAUCUCACUCCUCCUAUCCAUCUCUUUUCCUCUGUAUCUGUCCUUCUGAAGGGGCAGUCUCUGCCUCUCCCUUCCUCCUUUCUCUUGCUUCUCUUUCUUUGUUUCCCCUCUCUCCUUCCCUCUCCCCCCCCAUAACUGCUUACCCUUAUACCUUUCCCAGUACCCACUAAAUAAACUCUAUAUCUAAGCUCUCUCUGCAUGGCAUAUCUGUCUGCCUCCUUCCUGCCAGGGUCAUGCCACCAUGAAUCAAUCAUACCAGUUACUGUUUCAACCACAGGUCAUUCAUUAGAGAGCAACAGGUAACUCAUACAAAGCCAUACAGCAAAUGCUGACUCAGAACAGCUAACAUGACUGAAUCUUACUAAACAACCCCAGAAAACUACAAGAAGAUGUUGCUAGGAGGUGUCAGAAUCAGACAUUGGAUUCUCAAGGUCACAUUUAACCUUCACAACCAUCUCUGAGACAGACAGUAUUAACUCUGUGACACAAAUGAGGAAUCCGAGUCUUCAAAAACAAUUUUCCUGGCUCAAAAGAAUCCAGUAUUAAAGCUAGAGCUUACUGAUUCUCACAGUGAUACAUCAAAAUAAGUUACUUGCCAUAGUCAACAAUCCCAAUUCAUAAACACAGAAUUAUUUGCACCUUCAAAAAAUGAUGUGGCCACUGAAUUUGAGCAACAGUGACAGAAAUGGCCAACAAGCAAAGGUUGAUUCAGUGUUUAGUACAAUUCUGUUCUCAGUAAGUUUUCUGGGUGUAUCUAAUGGUUGCAGCUCCUGUUCCCCCAAAAUGCUGAACAUCAUGAGAGUUUCCCCUGCUGGAAUCUAAGAAGGCUGGCAAUGGUGAGACGGACUGUUCUCUGAUAAAACAGAGAAGGGUGGCAUGCUUUCUUUGAUUGGAGAGACAACUUGUGGUUGGUCUUCUUCACCCUUGGGCAGGAUGAUGGAGCAACCGCAGCUGGAUGUGCAGCAGCAUCUACCUUGUUCUGUAUCCCUAAGUCUCUUUUUCCUUGCACCCCUUAAUAGAUUAUUAAAUAGAUUUCUGUGGAAUCUCACUUCAUCUGGUACCCAACGUGGGGCUUGAACCCAAGACCCUGAGAUUAAGAGUCUCAUACUCUGCCAACUCCCACAAUAACACACCUUUAAUCCCAGCACUUGAGAGGCAGAGGAAGG
Molecule: non-coding RNA, 3174 nt
Organism: Myodes glareolus (Bank vole)
Lineage: Eukaryota; Metazoa; Chordata; Mammalia; Rodentia; Cricetidae
Source: RefSeq, a predicted model, not a curated record